GAAUUCGCCCUUAGAGUUUGAUCCUGGCUCAGGACGAACGCUGGCGGCGUGCCUAACACAUGCAAGUCGAACGGGGCUUGUUAUCCAGAAUUUUUCGGAAGGACGGAGAACAAGGCUAGUGGCGGACGGGUGAGUAACGCGUGAGUAACCUGCCUUUCAGAGGGGGAUAACGUUCUGAAAAGGACGCUAAUACCGCAUAACAUAUAGAGGUCGCAUGGCAGCUAUAUCAAAGGAGCAAUCCGCUGAGAGAUGGACUCGCGUCUGAUUAGAUAGUUGGUGGGGUUACGGCCUACCAAGUCGACGAUCAGUAGCCGGACUGAGAGGUUGAACGGCCACAUUGGGACUGAGACACGGCCCAGACUCCUACGGGAGGCAGCAGUGGGGGAUAUUGCGCAAUGGGGGAAACCCUGACGCAGCAACGCCGCGUGAAGGAAGAAGGUUUUCGGAUUGUAAACUUCUUUUGUCAGGGACGAAUAGAUGACGGUACCUGACGAAUAAGCUCCGGCUAACUACGUGCCAGCAGCCGCGGUAAUACGUAGGGAGCGAGCGUUGUCCGGAAUUACUGGGUGUAAAGGGUGCGUAGGCGGCAGAGCAAGUCAGAUGUGAAAUACACGGGCUUAACCCGUGGGCUGCAUUUGAAACUGUUCAGCUUGAGUGAAGCAGAGGCAGGCGGAAUUCCCGGUGUAGCGGUGAAAUGCGUAGAGAUCGGGAGGAACACCAGUGGCGAAGGCGGCCUGCUGGGCUUUAACUGACGCUGAGGCACGAAAGCGUGGGUAGCAAACAGGAUUAGAUACCCUGGUAGUCCACGCUGUAAACGAU
This 819-nucleotide ribosomal RNA is filed under the name uncultured bacterium. RNAcentral describes it as "bacterial SSU rRNA". It matches the Rfam family "Bacterial small subunit ribosomal RNA", at positions 1 to 810 of the family's 1533-position model. The record is from RNAcentral.